CUCAGAGCGAACGCUGGCGGCAGGCCUAAACCAUGCAAGUUGAACGGCCAUAGCAAUAUGGCAGUAGCGCAAGGGUGAGUAAUGUAUGGGAACGUAUCUUUUGGUGGGGAAUAUUCUUUGGAAACGAAGAGCAAUACCGCAUAAGCCCUACGGGGGAAAGAUUUAUCGCCGAUCGAGCGGCCCAUAUUGGAUUAGCUAGUUGGUUGGGUAAUGGCCGACCAAGGCUGUGAUCCAUAGCUGGUCUGAGAGGACGAUCAGCCACACUGGGACUGAGACACGGCCCAGACUCCUACGGGAGGCAGCAGGUAGGAAUAUUGGACAAUGGGGGCAACCCUGAUCCAGCCCAUGCCGCGCGAGUGUUAAGGCCUUCGGGUUGUAAAGCUCUUUUGUAUGGGAAAAUGAUGAUGGUACCAUAAGAAUAAGCACCGGCUAACUUCGUGCCAGCAGCAGC
This 451-nucleotide ribosomal RNA is filed under the name uncultured bacterium. RNAcentral describes it as "bacterial SSU rRNA". It matches the Rfam family "Bacterial small subunit ribosomal RNA", at positions 23 to 518 of the family's 1533-position model. The record is from RNAcentral.